AUGCCCCUUACACACCACCUCCUCCAUCACUUCUCUCCCUCUCUCCUCCUCCAUCACUUCUCUCCCUCUCUCUCCUCCUCCAUCACUUCUCUCCCUCUCUCUCCUCCUCCAUCACUUCUCUCCCUCUCUCUCCUCCUCCAUCACUUCUCUCCCUCUCUCUCCUCCUCCAUCACUUCUCUCCCUCUCUCUCCUCCUCCAUCACUUCUCUCCCUCUCUCUCCUCCUCCAUCACUUCUCUCCCUCUCUCUCCUCCUCCAUCACUUCUCUCCCUCUCUCUCUCUCCUCCUCCAUCACUUCUCUCCCUCUCUCUCUCUCCUCCUCCAUCACUUCUCUCUCUCUCUCUCUCCUCCUCCAUCACUUCUCUCCCUCUCUCUCUCUCCUCCAUCACUUCUCUCUCUCUCUCCUCCAUCACUUCUCUCCCUCUCUCUCUCUCCUCCAUCACUUCUCUCUCUCUCUCCUCCAUCACUUCUCUCCCUCUCUCUCUCUCCUCCAUCACUUCUCUCCCUCUCUCUCUCUCCUCCAUCACUUCUCUCCCUCUCUCUCUCUCUCCUCCAUCACUUCUCUCCCUCUCUCUCUCUCUCCUCCAUCACUUCUCUCUCUCUCUCUCUCUCCUCCAUCACUUCUCUCCCUCUCUCUCUCUCUCCUCCAUCACUUCUCUCCCUCUCUCUCUCUCCUCCAUCACUUCUCUCCCUCUCUCUCUCUCUCCUCCAUCACUUCUCUCCCUCUCUCUCUCUCCUCCAUCACUUCUCUCCCUCUCUCUCUCUCCUCCAUCACUUCUCUCCCUCUCUCUCUCUCCUCCAUCACUUCUCUCCCUCUCUCUCUCUCUCCUCCAUCACUUCUCUCCCUCUCUCUCUCUCUCUCCUCCAUCACUUCUCUCCCUCUCUCUCUCUCUCUCCUCCAUCACUUCUCCUCUCUCUCUCUCUCUCCAUCCUCUCUCCUCUCUCUCCUCCUCCAUCACUUCUCUCCUUCUCUCUCUCUCUCUCCUCCAUCACUUCUCUCCCUCUCUCUCUCUCUCUCCUCCUCCAUGCUGAACCAGAUGCUCCUCCCAGCCAGACAGUUCUCCUCCAGAGUUGCUGUCCUGAUAAAAACCAUCAGCUUGUUUCUCUUUCCUGUUGUUUUUUUUACUUUAUUUACUUGA
This 1137-nucleotide long non-coding RNA is filed under the name Oncorhynchus kisutch (coho salmon). RNAcentral's name for it is "lncRNA (ENSOKIG00005025820.1)". Lineage: Eukaryota; Metazoa; Chordata; Actinopteri; Salmoniformes; Salmonidae. The record is from RNAcentral.